Molecule: long non-coding RNA, 749 nt
Organism: Callorhinus ursinus (northern fur seal)
Lineage: Eukaryota; Metazoa; Chordata; Mammalia; Carnivora; Otariidae
Source: RefSeq, a predicted model, not a curated record
UUCUGUCUCUGCAGCAUGGUCAACAACAGUCCCAGAGUUGUAGGUCUUAAAGGUCUAGCACUCAGAGACUGACUUCUUGCUUUCUCUGAUCCCAGUUAAAAACAUAUGAAGAAGGAGCUUUGCAGCCCAGAUCCAGACAGAUUCCCAAACCUGGGCCAGUCAACAGUGGCCAAGACAGCAGGCUACUUGGACUGGUCCCACUUGGAUCAGGUGUCCAACCUUGUACUUGUCCAUGGUAGUCAAAGGUAUGAGGUCAUGAAAAAAUCUAGCCAUUCUGGCAGAAACCAGAGAGAUAUUUUGGGGGGCUGACAUUUCCAGAAGCAGCAGAUGCAGAGCAUAUAAACAUAACUUGACCCUUGGCCUAAGAUUCCUGCAUUUGCAGUCAUUCCCAGCCAGCAAGUGGAGGGCUGAGGGAGUGAACUGGCUCACAGCAGCUUCACAUCCAAGACCAUCACCCCUUUAAGUGAACUCCACCCCAAGUCAUAGCUGGGCCAAGUGGUUCCACCUGCAGAACUAGAGGGCCACAUGGGGCUCCUGCAAAGUAUGGGCUGUUCCCUAAGAUAGAACUCAAGGGGGCAUGACAUGAUUCAAAGAAGAGACAGGAUCAAACACAAAUCUGGCCUGUCCAGGCUGGGUGCCCCUUGGCACCACCCUGUUUCUCAGACACUGAGAAAGCCAGCACAUCAUACCCUGCACUGAGCCUGGCACAGAUGCUCCAGGACAAAAUACAGGCCAAAUCUCAAAUGUGA